CUUGAAUUUUCGUUAAUGUACCCCUGAUUAUUUCAGUAACUCUCAUUCUCUUCACAUGUAUUAUACUAACGUAUCUUUCAUGUUUGAUACGUGCCAGUGGCCACGUAUACCUACAUAUUGACAUAUACGUAUCUACACACUCAGAGAAAAUCUUAUACAGUACAUGCAUAUAUAUGAAAGUCGACUAUUUAACUGGAGAACACUUGAAAUACAGCAGCCUUAAAAAGAUCCAAAGAGAGAGUGUAGGGUGGUGAAAACAGAUAAGGAAGCCGAUCGAGUACAUAUGAAAACAAACACAGCAUAACAUUAAAAUUGAAGUUACAAGAAAGCAUUUACCACGUUUGCUACAUCCUACACGAAGGGAAAAAAAAUCUGGAUCACUGAUCAUAUUGAUAUAUAAUUUGAUUGCAUGGUUUAGAAGAUUAACGCGGAGCAAAGAGAGCAACAGCAUUUGCCACUAUUGUAAAGUUUUAUGGGACCAGUUUUAUUUAUGUCUUUUUUUAUUAAUACUUUUGCUGCUACUGAACUAUCAAUUUCGUUUGGAAAAUAUUAUAGUAGCUUAAAGCAUUUAAUUUUGAAAUAUAUCUGUCUGAAU
RNAcentral lists this long non-coding RNA (595 nucleotides) under Arabidopsis lyrata. Its description in RNAcentral is "long non-coding RNA (ALYR_LNC001852)". The record is from RNAcentral. Lineage: Eukaryota; Viridiplantae; Streptophyta; Magnoliopsida; Brassicales; Brassicaceae.